Molecule: RNase P RNA, 398 nt
Filed under: Rhizobium bangladeshense
Lineage: Bacteria; Pseudomonadati; Pseudomonadota; Alphaproteobacteria; Hyphomicrobiales; Rhizobiaceae
Also listed under: 1 other name
Description: RNase P RNA component class A
Rfam family: Bacterial RNase P class A
About the family: Ribonuclease P (RNase P) is a ubiquitous endoribonuclease, found in archaea, bacteria and eukarya as well as chloroplasts and mitochondria. Its best characterised activity is the generation of mature 5'-ends of tRNAs by cleaving the 5'-leader elements of precursor-tRNAs. Cellular RNase Ps are ribonucleoproteins.
Source: RNAcentral
CCAGUUGGCCGGGCAGCCGCGCUUUACCAACGCCGAAAGGCGGUAGAGUGAGGAAAGUCCGGGCUCCACGGAAACACGGUGCCGGAUAACGUCCGGCGAGGGCGACCUCAGGGAAAGUGCCACAGAAAGCAAACCGCCUGUCAUGACAGGUAAGGGUGAAAGGGUGGGGUAAGAGCCCACCGCAUCUCCGGCAACGGAUAUGGCACGGUAAACCCCACCGGGAGCAAGACCGAAUAGGGAUGACGCGGUGGGCCGAAAGGCCCUCCGGCCGGUUUCCAGGCCAGUCAUCCGGGUGGGUUGCGCGAGGCAGCGUGCGAACGCUGUCCCAGAGGAAUGGCUGCCACGUUCCGGUUCGCGCCGGAGCCAUACAGAACCCGGCUUACAGGCCAACUGGCGAU